Yersinia pestis CO92 is the source of this 89-nucleotide regulatory RNA element. It matches the Rfam family "AilA 5' UTR thermometer". Rfam says of the family: RNAT functionality is impaired by point mutating the 5'UTR. The record is from Rfam. NCBI's taxonomy places the organism in Bacteria, Pseudomonadati, Pseudomonadota, Gammaproteobacteria, Enterobacterales, Yersiniaceae.
GGCCACUUUAGUCUGUGGUUACUGUAUUAGGUAUUGUUAUAACAAUCUGGAUGGUUUUUAUGAAUAAGACAUUACUGGUCUCUUCUUUA